UUUUCUUAAAAAAAUAUUAAAGAAAAUAAAUUUUAAUGAUUUAUUAGGUGGGAUGGCGGAAGAAACCUAAAAGCAAUCUAUUUUUUUAGAGUUGUGUCCUGUAUUAUAUCUGAAUUUUAUCGUAUCUGAAUUUGAGAAUAAAAGAAUAAACAUUUACCCGCGAGAAUUUUUCUUUUANUGUAUUUUUUUAUCUUUUUGCCAAUUCUAAGAAUUGAUAUUGAAAACAAAAUCUAAAAAUUUCGAAGAUGGUAUGAAAUCUCAAAAAAUACCGAGAUUUCGUUAUUUACUAAACAUAUGAAUAUUUAUAUUCUUUUAUCGAUUAGAUAGAAUCUAUAUCUAUAUAAAUAUAAAUAUUUGAAUUACUUCAUUCGCGAGAAGUCGUAUGAAGUGAAAAUCUCAUCUACAGAUUUAUACAUAAAUCUAUUUGAAGGCAGAGAACAUUUAAAAUAAAAGAUGAUAUUAAAAAAUAAUGAUAAAUAACCUCAUUUAAAAUUAAAAUAAUAAAAUCAGAAACCUUAUAUUAAAUAAUAAAUCUAAAUGUUAAAAAGUUCAAAUAACAUCUAGUGCUUUACGGAGCUACAAAAGCUGAGACCUUUUACUACCUCCUUAUAAAUAGAUAGUACUGUUAAUAUGAUUUUUUUCUGGGUUAAUCUAAAUCUAAAUCUUCAAAUUAUAUUCCGUGAGGCAAUUUAUGUCACCUAAUUUAGGUUGGAUUAGAUGCUGUCAUCUCUUCAAAGCCGAUUUCUUAUCAAUAUCAGAGUAAAGAAUCUCCU
RNAcentral lists this long non-coding RNA (773 nucleotides) under Vigna radiata. Its description in RNAcentral is "long non-coding RNA (VRAD_LNC000055)". The record is from RNAcentral. Lineage: Eukaryota; Viridiplantae; Streptophyta; Magnoliopsida; Fabales; Fabaceae.